GGUCAGAAGUGGGAUUCGAACCCACGCUACAUUCUGUGACCAGAACUCAACAUCCGCGACAGGCAAGUGGAACCCUUGAGUCUGGCGUUUAGACCGUCUCGGCCAUCCUGAC
This is a non-coding RNA of Araneus ventricosus, 112 nucleotides long. NCBI's taxonomy places the organism in Eukaryota, Metazoa, Arthropoda, Arachnida, Araneae, Araneidae. The record is from the annotation of a GenBank genome assembly.